This 362-nucleotide ribosomal RNA is filed under the name uncultured soil bacterium. RNAcentral's name for it is "bacterial SSU rRNA". It matches the Rfam family "Bacterial small subunit ribosomal RNA", at positions 26 to 387 of the family's 1533-position model. The record is from RNAcentral.
AGAUUGAACGCUGGCGGCAUGCCUAACACAUGCAAGUCGAACGGGAGUAGCAAUACUCUAGUGGCGGACGGGUGAGGAAUACGUAGGAAUUUGCCCUUAAGUGGGGGAUAACCCGGGGAAACCCGGAUUAAUACCGCAUGGACCUCGAAAGAGCAAAGUGGGGGAUCGCAAGACCUCGACGCUUUGGGAGAAGCCUACGUCGGAUUAGCUAGUUGGUGAGGUAAUGGCUCACCAAGGUCGACGAUCCGUAACUGGUCUGAGAGGAUGAUCAGUCACACCGGGAACUGAGACACGGUCCGGACUCCUACGGGAGGGCCAGCAGGUGGGGAAUAGUUAGGACAAGUGGGCGACAACGGCCUGAA